CCUACGGGAGACUGCAGUGGGGAAUAUUGGGCAAUGGGCGCAAGCCUGACCCAGCAACGCCGCGUGAAGGAAGAAGGCUUUCGGGUUGUAAACUUCUUUUAGGAGGGAAGAGCAGAAGACGGUACCUCUUGAAUAAGCCACGGCUAAAUACGUGACAGCAGCCGCGGUAAUACGUAGGUGGCGAGUGUUGUCCGGAUUUCGUGGGUGUAAGGGGCGUGUAGCCGGGCUGACAAGUCAGGUGUGAAAUCCGGGGGCUCAACCCCAGAACUGCAUUUGAAACUGUUGGUCUUGAGUAUCGGAGAGGUAGGCGGAAUUCCUGGUGUAGCGGUGAAAUGCGUAGAUAUUAGGAGGAACACCGGUGGCGAAGGCGGCCUACUGGACGACAACUGACGGUGAGGCGCGAAAGCGUGGGGAGCAAACAGGAUUAGAUACCCCUGUAGUC
Molecule: ribosomal RNA, 442 nt
Filed under: uncultured bacterium
Lineage: Bacteria
Description: partial 16S ribosomal RNA
Rfam family: Bacterial small subunit ribosomal RNA
Source: RNAcentral